UAAAUCUUGUCUCAAAUAAAAUAGCACCUGUAAAUCUUGUGCCAGCAGCAGCGGUAACGCAAGUGGUGUAAGCAUUUUAUAGCUUUUUUAGGUGAAAAUGGUG
Molecule: ribosomal RNA, 103 nt
Filed under: Lingulaulax polyedra
Lineage: Eukaryota; Dinophyceae; Gonyaulacales; Lingulodiniaceae
Description: Lingulodinium polyedra partial Bacterial small subunit ribosomal RNA
Source: RNAcentral